CCUACGGGUGGCAGCAGUCGAGAAUUAUUCACAAUGGGGGAAACCCUGAUGGUGCGACGCCGCGUGAGGGAAGACGGUCCUAUGGAUUGUAAACCUCUUUAGGCGGGGAGCAAUGCCGGGCACGUGUGCCCGGAGGGAGAGUACCCGCAGAAUAAGCAUCGGCUAACUCCGUGCAAGCGGCCGCGGUAAUACGGAGGAUGCGAGCGUUAUCCGGAUUUAUUGGGUUAAAAGGGUGCGUAGGCGGAUUUUUAAGUCAGCGGUAAAAUGUCCGGGCUCAACCCGGGCGGGCCGUUGAAACUGGGGAUCUUGAGAGGGCGAGAGGUAUGCGGAAUGCGUGGUGUAGCGGUGAAAUGCAUAGAUAUCACGCAGAACUCCGAUUGCGAAGGCAGCAUACCGGCGCCCGACUGACGCUGAGGCACGAAAGCGUGGGGAUCGAACAGGAUUAGAUACCCUUGUAGUC
RNAcentral lists this ribosomal RNA (460 nucleotides) under uncultured bacterium. RNAcentral describes it as "partial 16S ribosomal RNA". It matches the Rfam family "Bacterial small subunit ribosomal RNA", at positions 338 to 795 of the family's 1533-position model. The record is from RNAcentral.